UUUUUGUUUUUUUGUUUUUUCAUUCCUGAUUUUCCUCUUAAGCACGUGCCGAAACAUAUAAAAUCAGUCAACUUCCUGCUAAUCCACAUCAGGUAGAAGCAGUCAAAUCAAAUCAGAGAGGGACUUUAAAGGAUCGGUACUAUCCGUGUUCCUGCUGAACAUCCAGAAGAACUGAAGAGCUCAUUGAGGAGGCGGUGGGUUUCAAAAUCACCAACAACACAAAUACCUGUACCUGUACAGUGAGUAUAAGCUGAUAACUUCAGAUAGAAGUGCUGGUAAAAAUCAGUCAAACUUCCUUCUUACCCACAGCAGGUGCAAGAACAGCUUAGAAGAACAAAGAAGGACUCCUACAUACUCGUUUUAUCUCCGACUUCAUCAUGAGAUUAUUUGUGGUUUCACAGCUUCUGCUGGUGUUCAUAUCAGUCCUGG
Non-coding RNA from Pimephales promelas (fathead minnow), 429 nucleotides. The record is from RefSeq and is a predicted model, not a curated record. Lineage: Eukaryota; Metazoa; Chordata; Actinopteri; Cypriniformes; Leuciscidae.